UCCAUGCCGUAAACGAUGUCUACUAGCCGUUGGGGCCUUUGAGGCUUUAGUGGCGCAGCUAACGCGAUAAGUAGACCGCCUGGGGAGUACGGUCGCAAGACUAAAACUCAAAUGAAUUGACGGGGGCCCGCACAAGCGGUGGAGCAUGUGGUUUAAUUCGAUGCAACGCGAAGAACCUUACCUGGUCUUGACAUAGUAAGAACUUUCCAGAGAUGGAUUG
RNAcentral lists this ribosomal RNA (220 nucleotides) under uncultured bacterium. RNAcentral's name for it is "partial 16S ribosomal RNA". It matches the Rfam family "Bacterial small subunit ribosomal RNA", at positions 794 to 1013 of the family's 1533-position model. The record is from RNAcentral.